Mesocricetus auratus (golden hamster) is the source of this 12996-nucleotide long non-coding RNA. RefSeq lists it as uncharacterized. The transcript has 5 exons. The record is from RefSeq and is a predicted model, not a curated record. NCBI's taxonomy places the organism in Eukaryota, Metazoa, Chordata, Mammalia, Rodentia, Cricetidae.
CUUUGUCUGUAUAAAAAUAAAAACGACACAAAUACCAGCAACCAGCUUCAACAAUAUACAUGUCCCCAUGGUUUGGAAAUGUCUUGGAGGCUACCAGCAGUCACCUUCCUGGGCUGUGGGGGCAAGUCGCUUCGACAUCAGUCUUUUUAUUCUUGUUUCCCUUCAUCUUCCGGAGUGGAAACACACCAGAAGAUAACGCCUCUGCGUGUUCCUUCUCCAAUCUCACGCUAUUCAGAUGUGAGGACCGUGUGUCUGAGCUCCAGGCAGUCCAGCUUCAGCGUGAUGACCAAGUCAUGGCCAGAAUCAUGAGACGACCUAUAUGCAUCAGGUGUCUGUGUUAACGUGAAUGAGAGGGUGAGAGGAGGAGAGAUGGAAAGACCUUAUGAAGAAUCCCCGUGGCAACUAAAACAAAUCCAGACAAAACAGUCUACAGUCUUCCAGCUCGGCCGUAUAGCCUUGGGGAGAGAUGGAUUCCCACCACCACCACCACACGACUGCCUUGCCGUGUGCUCUGCAGCACAAAAUGACAGGCACCAAAAGUAAACACAGAGAGUUCAAGGCCAGCCUGGUCUAAAAAGUUCCAGGCCAGCCAUGGCUAUAUACUGAUACUCUAUCCCCUGUAAAAUCCACCACUGCCACCACCAACACUGCCAAUAACAAAAAUAAACACGGAUUGACAUAAUAUAGCAGGGCUGGAGAGGAGAGGACAGCUCCCUCCAAGUUAUAGCUAAGCAUGUGUGGAAAGAGAGAUGUCAGAAAGAACUUUCUAGUCUGGCUCCUUCCAAAACCCACCAGCGCGAGGUCAACACCACAGUAAAUAGCAGUCAUUUUAAGGAGCGAUGGUCCUGCUCAGAAGGAGGGCUUAGGGGGCAACCUAGCCUAGGGAAUGUGAGCUUCCCUUGUUGACCUUGGUUUGCUUCUGACUUUCUGAAGCAUGCUGUGAUGUUGUCUUCACGGGGAAUGCAGAGUCAGGAGGAAGUGACACAGCCUGGUAAUUAUUUUAGACAAUUGCGCGGCAGUGGAAUAAGGCCUUGAAUGCUUCCCAUAGAAUCCUUUUGAUCAAAACAUUUACUCUGCCAGAGCUAAGACUGCAGCAUGCCUCUGAAUAAUUAGACAAGUUCCCAUCCAGUGGUAUGGUGAGGGGGAAGCCAUGCCCACCAGGUUUCUCCUGCACACAGAGAGGUUUUAUUCGCUGCUCUGAAAUAUCUUCCUUAUGAAUUCCAGUGUGUUAUGCUUACUAUUAAUGUCUUAAUGAUAGUGACAGGAGACUGUUUAAACCUCAUUUCAUGGCCGACUUUCUAUAUAGAAACGCUCUCUCUCUCCUCCCAUAUGCGAUUUUCUGUCUAUUCAUUAAUUGCACUGCUGCUCUCCUAAGUUUAUUUACUGCUUCUAAAUAUGUAUCUUAAUUUACAUGUCAAGUCCCACGGGGUGGCUAUAAAAUGUAAAAUCUUAUAUAAUAGCAGAAGCAGCCGCAAAUAUUUUAUAUCCGAGGCUGCUUCUGAAUCCUAAUUCUGCAGAUGGCGUGAGGUUCAUUUUUAUAGAAGCCAUUGAAAACUAAUAAAUGCCAUCCACAUCACUCAGCAUUGUCAAUAAUCUACCAGAUUGUGUGCCCAGGGAUGCUCGGGAAGCAGGAUGAGAGGCCGGCCCUUCCCUCUGCAGCCUCCAGCUGCACAGCCACAGCUGACUGGUCCUAUCAGCCUCCACAGUUUUGUACAGCUCAGCAGCAAGGCCGGGCUGUUUGCAUUUCUCACCAGCCAGGGGAAAGGCCCUUGCAACAGGGUAAUCACUGCACAGGGCACGCAGGGGAGAGAGGUGAGCUUGCCACUCCUAAUGCUGAUUAUUGCAUUUGCCUUCCUCAGAAGCAAUCGGUGAGCAGAGCAGGAAAAGAAAGGAGGUAGCAGUGAGGUGAGCACCACCUGACCUGGUGCAGAAGCCAUGCAUUCCUGACUCGUUUCUUAGUCUACAGCCCUACCGACAGCCAGUCUCCCCCUAUUCACACUCAUAUGCAUGCAUGCUUGUGUGCGCAUGCAUGAGGAGGCCAGGGGUCAACGUCAAGUGUCUUCUUCAGUUGCCUAGUUUUUUGAUACAAGGUUUCCUCACUAGAAUUGGAAUUCAUGGAUUGAGUUAGCCAAACUGGCCAGCAGGCUGCUGGGAUCUUCUUGUCUCAGUUUCCCCAGAGCGGGGACAGCAGAUACUUGCCAUCAUGCCAGGCGUUCUACAUGGAUAUUGGGAUCCAAACUCAAGCCCUUAUGCUUGUGUGGCAAGCACUUUACCAGAGUGGUCCAGUUCAUCCUUUACGUCCUCCUCGAUGUGCUCACAUCCCAAUGCUCACAGAGGCUUCUCCGCAUGCCUUCAAAUACAAAACUGAACACCAACCCAUUCGAAGUUCCUUUCCAGUACCACUAAAGUGUUGCAAAGCAGAAUUUGAAACAUUAUUUGGGAUUCGCUGUGAGUUUUCCGAAGCAGAAUGCUUUGGGAAGGAUGGUUACAUGGCUCACAGCACGCCCUGGCAAAGUCUCUUAAAGUGGCUCAUCAUUUCUGACCCCUUAUCACAUUGCAUCUGUUAGUUACCUUGUUCCUAAAUGGUUAGACAUCACAGACAGCGUUGGUAUGAGCUGUUCUACUAAGUAACCCUGUAUACAGAUGUGAAAGUCUAAGGAUAAGACUUGGAAAGGAUCGUUUGACAGAGUACACAUGGGAAAAAUAAACUAAGAAUAUAGUUCUCACGUACAACUGCCAUAGCAUCAUCACUAUGCUAGGCACAGUCCCAUAGAGUCUGAUGACAAUGUGCAGUAUGUCAUCUCACAAUCUAACGUUCACUGGAAGCACAGUGUCCAAAAUGCUUCAUUACAUUGGAUAGAAGCUAGAAAUGCUAUUCUGCAAAACUCAGGGCACCUGGCAAACUGAUGGCUUGCUCCUUUGAUAAUUUCAUAAUUUACAAGUUCAAAGAAGUCUACUAACCAGGCAGAACUGGGUCAUGACCCAGAAAUGACAGAACCUUUGAUAGACAGGAACUCAGUGUACUCAGUAUUAAAGUAGUCAGGACCAUGUCAUAAAUCUAAUCAAAAUUUCUAUGAAUGUUGAUAAAUAAAAUAUGUAAUAGUGGAUUUAUUGGGGAUAUUACCUCAAAAAACAUUUUUUGAGAAACUGUAUCUAUUGAUGACCCCAUUGAUGACUGGAGACCAACAAAUCAGCCUAGACCAGCAUAUUUGUAACCUGAAUCAGGGAUGGUUCUGACCCAAGGCUAGCCAAUGACUAGAAUGGCUGAUUGUGUUUAGUUGCUGUCCUCCAAGGCUGAAAGGCCCUGGACAGCAAGGGCCUGACACUAAGAGGAAGCCAGAAAAGCCGAUUGUUAAAGCGAAGAGGAGUGGAGUAGUUGGCAGAUGCCAUUGGGACGUAAAAAUGGGGUGAGAAAUAGAGGAAAGCUAGACUGUGAAGCUCUGAACAACAGAAUGGCUGCCUGUCCUCUGUUUUGACAUAGUGUCCAUAAAUAGGUAUUGAUAGGGUAAGAAGAGGAAGGUGUCUUAAGACUGCUAAGUUUCAGGCCCCGUGAGGACUAAGCAUGCUUAGCUUAAGGUGAUGGUUGUCUGCAGAUGCUAUCCGAGGUCUACCACUAAUGGAUGUUUUUUUUUUCUUUUUUAAUUUGAACUUGCUAUAUGGUGUAUCUGUCUGUUGUUACCAAAGCAGCUGGAAUCUUGCAUAGAUGUGACCAGACUUUCUAAGCAAGAACUCACAGCCCAGAUUUUGAUGUGAGGCCUCUUCCUUGCAUCUCAGCUAAGCAAAUGCUCAUUGCCUACACUUCUGUUACUCCAUCCUAUGCCUAAUGUCUUAGAAAGUCCCCCUUCCAACAGGGAAACAUUUGUAACCUACCAAACAAGACAUUCCGGGUAUCCUAUAGUCUAACCAUGUCUCUUUUAAAUGAUUUUCCCACAUGACUUCCUAAUUGUGGUUCUACUCACAAGACAAGCAUUCAUGUAGUGUCUCUCUCCUAGACUUUGAUCAGACAUUGUUUAUUAAACUGCCUUAAGACUUUAUUUCAAAUGGAACAAUCCAGAAAAAAACCACAAUUUCUCCAGUAGAUGUCUUCAAAGUCUAAGUGAGGUGGCUUGUCUAUAUUAGUGACACCAAAGUUGGACACCUCAAAACCUCUGGUUCCUAAGCACAAAUGGGUGUUCCACUGAAGAUUCCCUAUCUGCCCUCACUCCCAAAUAGAGACAGGGGGGAAGAUGGUGUAAUUACACCACCUCUUGGUCUGCCAAAUUCUUAGAUUAUGUUGUUAAUGAAAAGAUUGGGUGUAUUUCUUUUUUGUUUGUUUCUGUAUUUAAAGCUUUGUACUCUUUAAUGACCAUUUGAUUUAGCCCUUCCUUAUGACUUUACAAGAUUCUAAUAUGGUCUAUCUUGAGACUCUAAUGGAACACUUAAAUAAAUGUGCAAGCUAUUAAAAUAGUGCUAGAGAAUAACUCCAAAGAAGGAGGUAUAAAUAUUCAUAUUCACAAUAUCUUAUAGAUCAAGACUGAAUAGUAAAGGACAAUGGGUGUGGACAUAGCCUCAGCUAGAGUAUCUGUCAUGGUUAGAACCAGGUGGGUCUCAUUCAUUUGGGAAGUAGAGAGUCCUGUAAUCAGAGCAGAUUCUUUCUUCUUUUUAACAGAACUGGUGCAGUAGCUUGCCUAGAUCCACUGCAACAGAAGCUGAGGUGAACCAUGUUAUGGGUCUUGGUUAAGCUACGCUGGGAAAAAAAAUCAGCGGCAAGAGUUAACUUUUUAGCAGUCUAUAGUUGCUGUUCAUAUUCAUGUUUAGGACCACUUCAGAGCCAACCUAGUGGUCAUUUACUCUCACUUCAGUUUUAAUUGGUCUAGCUCAUAAACAUUUCAUAGUCUGUAGUUGAAAAGGAACCCUUAUCUUUGCUUCAACAGUCAGCACACCAUCCAUAUUCCUUUUUAAAGCCUCACGUACAAUACAGUUUAUUGAGACCAAUGUUAGGUGACACGCCUUGGUCUUGCAGAUGUGCACAUAGCAGAGAAUCAAGGCUGCCUCUCUAUCUCUUUCUCCUCCACCCUCUACGUCCUUUCUUCUUUGCCUAUGCUCCACCAGCUUUUAUGGCCAGGACUCCUUACCUUCACUGCAGAGAAAAUUUCACUCCAUUAAAAAGGGAAUUUUAAGGGAGAAAUUGGGCAAGUAAGGUCUUACAGACAAACACGGUUUGCCCUGUGGUUAUAAAAUGGAUUGCCAUGCUCUGCUUGGUCUAUUUACCCAUGAAGGGAAGAUGGGUAAAGGGAAAGAGCUAAAUACAAGCACCUGGGUAUGGUAAUGAUUUUUCUUUUGUUUUGCUUUGUUUUGUUUUGUCAUUGAUUAUGUGGAAGACAGGUACCUGGCUAUUUGCCGGCUGGAAAAUCCUACAGGCAGCUUACACUCUUUUGGGAUGCCAUAGACAUGACAUCCAGGCCUUGGCACCAGUUCCUCUCCAACCCAGCUUAUAUUCAAUGCAUUGCAUCUUCUGGAAUCUCAAAGGCUCUGAGUUGGGAAGGAGCCAAUGUCAUGGCCAGGGAACACAGCUUGGCUCCAAACCCUGGAAGACAAUGGAGUCCCAUUGUGACUGACACAGUGAGCCACUGGAUGGCACUGUGGGUCCAUAAAGAUGAGGAUGGGAGGACAUUUGUCUUUCUUUUUAAAAGGCCAUUUAAGUUUGACAGGCAAUUUGGCACAUUUCGAGUUUGAGAGUGCCAAAUGAUUUGGCAAAUAUUUCAUUUACCUCUGAAAAUAGUCACACCUGCUGUUGUGGCCUGCAUGAAGGUGGAGGUUGGUAGCUUCUCCCUCCACUCCCUUGUUGACGCCAAUUUCAGAGAUGAAAAAAAAGAUUUGACUAAGGAUAAGGAGACAACCUACCAUGGUUUCCACUGCGGUACCAUGCUCUGGAAAAUGGCCAAAGGUUUGUGUUUCUUCUGAGCCCAACCUCUCCAUUCUCAGGGAACAUCUUUAUGUCUUCCCAUGCUGCCUCAACCCCCAAAUAGGUAACUCAGCUAACUAUUGGCCGGAUGGAAUGAGAUUUGUAUGAAGAGUUGUGUCCUCUAGUGGUCCUCCAACCAAGAGCAUUGGGAAAAACUAUCCCCAACUUUUCCUGUUCUUAAAAAAUUUCUGCUUAUUACUUGGUGUGUUUAAUAACCAGAAGACCCAGGCAAUAUGAGAAUGCCUCCUAAGCUGCCUCUUAACCAUCCUGAAGGCAUUAAUUUGCUGAACAUGAUGGUGACAGUCAUAUGUGGACAGUCCAUACCUGUGGGAGAAUGUGGGUGACAGGCUGAAACUUGAGGCCUAGGCCAAGUUCCUAGUGUGACACAUUCAAGCCCAUCUCCCAUAAUACAUGCUGUUCAGUAGAGCAUAUUGGGGUACAAAUGAAUAAAAACACUGUUAUUAUCAGUAUAACUUUAAAUGUGAUUUAAUCUUUAAGAUGGUAACACAUUUUCAAAUCAAAUUACUGUAGCCAACACACCUAUGGUAUGAUGUAGGACCACUUGCCAAAUGCUAAUAACAGGUUGGGAAUGGAUAAGUUAGAGAAGAGAGAUUAGUGAGUCCUGCCAGGACUGUGCACCAACUAGUAAAAGAAACAGUAAUUGUGUCAAAUCUAUCAAUCUUUUGAGAAAUGCCAAGGAAGCAUGCUAUAGUGGAAUGCCUCUGGCUUCAAGUUUUGAGGAAUGGCUUGUAGUCCCAAGCCCACCUAGCAGCUGUGCCACAGUGCAGACAUUAUUAACUCUCUAAUCUGUUUUCUUACCUGAGCAUGGAAAAAGUAAUUCAGAUGAACUCUUGUAGCUUGACACCAUUGGGAUUUCCUUUAGGUUAGGCAGUUUUGAACAUUUUCAAAUAUCUUGGUAUAUAUUAGGAUUAUAUAUAGCCAUAAUAAAAUGGGAGGGUAUAUUUAUUUAAGUAAAGUCUAAAUUAAAUAAUUACCAUUUCGCGUAAUAAAUUUCAGUACCAUUAAAAAGAAACUUUUGGAACAGUGAGAUGCUUUAUGAAAAAUGCAUAUUUAUGCUUUUAACAUUUAGAUUAUGAGCACAAAGAAGCUCUUUCUUAAGUUUUUAUCUUUUGACACGUAUUAGUUUUUUCUUUAUUCAUGCCUCUGUAUCAUAUCACUAAAGUCUUACUUCAUGAGAGGCCAGAUGACGAACAUUAUGGAUAUUGAUGGUGAACUUGAUAAGAGGUUUCUGUGGCCUGACAGAGUGGACACCUAGCUGGAGCAGGCCGAAAAAGAAUGGGAAGUGAGGGAUUGUGUGGUGGUCGAUUGCGUGAAUGCUGUGUGUACUGUGCAAGUGUGAGGAUGGGAGUCUGGAUCACCAAGAGCUACACAGAAGCUGCAUAGGUGGGGCUGGCAGGAUGACCCAGAGAGGAAAGUCGCUUGCCGCUGAGGCUGAAAGACCUCUAUUUGAUACCCAGAAUCCACAUGGUUAAUGGAAAGGACUGGGCUCCUUCAAGUCAGCCUGUGACUGCCCCACCUACACAGUGACAUGCCCCACUCAAUAAAGAAAUGAAUGCAAUUUAUAAAAAAACAGAAAAACUGGGCUUACCUGGAGAUCUGCUUAUAUUCCCAGUGCUUGAGAGAAGACAUGGAAUGCACCAGGGUGUGCUGGCUAGACUAGACUAGCCAGAUCCCAAGUUCCUGGUUCAGUGAGAGUUCCCGCCUCAGUGAAUAAAGACCAAGAGAUCAGCCAAUGUCAACUCUUGGUCUCUUGGAUGCCUACUCUCACACAUGUGAGUAUUAGAGUAUGUAUAACACACACACACACACACACACACACACACACACACACACACACACUUGGUCCUCUGUACAUGUUUUGCAUCUGUGAAUUCCAGUAAGUGCAGGUUGAAAAUAUUCAGAAAAAAAUAUAUAUGAACCAUGUAUAGAACAUUUUAUCAUUGCCCUCACUUCCUAAAUCAAACCAUAUAACAACUGUUUAUAUUAUCAGUAAUCUAGAGAUAAUUUUAGACAUAUAGAAUGAUGUUUGUAGACUAUAUGCUGUUAUGUCUUAAAGUUUGUGUACAUUCAGAACCCAUGUCUCAUUAUUAUUGAAGGAAAAGAGUAUUUACGAUUCUUACAAGGAUUUUUUUAAAAGAAAAAAAGCCCUAACCAACCAACUGAACAACAACCACAAAAAGGUCCCAACCAACCAAACAACCAACCAACCAAACAACUAACCAAACAAACAAACAAAAAAUAGGGAAAGAAAAAGAAAGAGGUAGUAGCCAGUACAUGAAUUCUAGAGAAGCACUCUCUUCUGAGAAGGUGGACACACUAAGGUGCACUACAUCUGAAGGAAAAUAAAUAGAUAAUACUUAACCAUAUAUUUGGAAUUCUCACUAAAAGAUUGAGAUCUGGUUGUAGAUCUUGUGCUUAUUUUAACAAAGAGCUAGACCAUCUUGUGUGCCCCCUGUCUUUAAGCAGAACAGUCAGGGUGGAGGAGGAUCCAGGAGAACUCCUUGCUCCUGCCAAGUUAGCAGGCUUGAAUUUAAGAGACCAUAUCAUCCAGAACUGGCCAAUCAAGGCAUCCAAACCUCUCAUUAAACUGACUGUGGAAACUGAGGUUAAGAAGAAUUAGGGCUAAAGCUUUACUCUCAGAAUAGUAUUGGGUAAGCAUUUAAAAAAUGGCUUUGGGACUAGAAAUAGCUCUGUUUGGGUGCAAUUCUACCAUCAUUUAUCAGUUGAGUAACCUUUAAGCAAGUUAUCCUUGGUUCUCACAUCAAUUGAAUGAGGGGACUCUAUACUAUUUCAACAAGUAGGCACUGGAAUGAGAUAUUUGUCUUCUAUGAUUGUUGUGAAAACAAACACAAAGAAGACAAAUGCUUACUCCAGUGCUGAACAUGAGGUCAGGGCAAACUCUGAUGCUUGUUAGCCAUUAUAUGAGCAUUUGCAUGCAUGGAAAUGAAACGUUAUAAACUUGCAUGUACAGAAAUUCUAAAAAUGUUAUGGAUACUUCUACAAAUGGAAUAUAAUAAACACCAGAGAAGGCACACAAGCCACAAUGUUUAGUCUAAGCCUUGCUAAGUGCAUGGCCAGCUGCAGUCACCACACUCAGAGGCUCUUACUCAUGGUUGACUCAAGUCUAGGUCCUUUUCCAAACCCUGUUUGGCCUGCCCGUGCACAACGGUUAUCUUCUAUAUACAAACUUCAGAGACACCUCCCUAACCAUCUGGGAACUGAAUACCUCAUUUCUCUCUUGCUCUUUCCCCUGGAGUUCCUUUGGAAGCAAACCAGGAGUCUAAAUUUGCUGGUUGUGGCUAAGGGCUGCCAGGAACGAAAAGCAAUCCUCUUUCAAAGGCUCCAGAAUUGGCUGCUGCGAAUGAAAUGAGAGCAAUGAAGCUGUGGGUGCAAAGCAGAAAGGAUAAGGGGCACCAGAGAAAAGCAAUGCCUUCCAACUCUUUCCCAUACCAGGAAGGAUGCUGCUAGUCUGCUUCCCUUCAGCAGGCCGGCCAGGCACCAUUCCUGAUUUGGCCAGAGCCUUUGGGUGGGUGUCCACCUAUGUUGUCAUCCUCCCCCCAGUUCUUUAUGUUUUCCUAGAUCCUGUAGCUUAGGAUGUUUGCUCUCUCUAUUGGGAACCGCCCCCUUUUUAUAUAUAAAUUCCCAGCCACCACUUUGCUUAACUAUAUUUCCAAUGUUAGUUUUCUUCUCACUGAAGAUGAGCAACAUAGGGCCAAAUUAAAACUCAUAGAACAGCACAAGUUAAUUGGAGUCUGAGAAGAUCAGGAUACUUGAAGCUCAGCUUGAUAAAAACCCCACAGGGUUUGGAAAUGAGUCUUAUGGGAACCAAAAAAUAAAAUAAAUAAAAAAGAAUCUGCUUUCUCUUGCCCCAGGGAUCCACUUACCAACUUUCUAUAGUAAUCUCUAAACUUCUCAACUACAAUCAAAUGCUUAGUUUAAAUAAACAAUAUGUUUAUGCUUCUACUUUACAUAGACUGGUGAAAAAGUGUCUGAAGUGAAAAUUAAAGUUUUAUAAUCUUCUUAGUUACUAACAUAAACUAAUAUAAUAGAAAAUAUUUUAGUAAGGCAAUUGACUUCUUUUUUGAUGGAGUUGACGUACUCAUAAUUUUCUCUUUCUCAAUUAAAUAUACAAAAAAUCUAGCUAUGCCAUGUAGUCUAAUGUACCCUUCCUGCAGGUUUUCUUUUCAUUUUCAAAUUAUACUUCUAGAAUGAUGAUACAGCUUAUUUGGCAAAGCACUUUUUGUACAACCAUGAAAACCCAAGUUGGGAUCCCAAGCACUCAUAAAAAAAAGUUCAGCAGUGCACAUCUGUAACUUGUGCAGUAGAAAUGAGUCCAUGGAGCUCAAGGGUCAGUCAGUGUAGCCAAACAACAAGUCAAUGAGAUACCUUGCCUCAAAUAUUAAGGUGAAUAAUGAUUGAAGAAGACACAUACAACUUCUAUGUGUGAGCACAUGUGCAUCCGCACCCUCACGUGCAUGUGCAUAUACAUAAAUAUACAACACACAUAUACACACAUGUACACAUACCUUACAGUUUUUAAAAAUGUGGUUAACACUGAGGACGUCCUCUAAGCAUCAGGUGGUAAUAAAUUUGAUAAGGAACUUAUCGGGAGUGAUCAUGACACAAAUAAGAACUACCAUUCUGGGCUUCUGCAUAAUGGGAAAUAGAAGAGUUAACCUUUAGUCUAUCAGCUGAAUUUUGGCUCAGAAUUUAAUGACACAAAGUCAUUACCCCCUGAAGGUCCAGGGUCUUUGGGGAAAUGAGUAUAGUGGUUUCAGCUCCAUCCCCAAAGAGCCUGGAGUCUCCAUCAGAAUGGCUGCCAUUACAAUUACAGCUAAUUGACACUAGUGCUGUUGGAAACAAGACUGAAUGAGAAGGCAGACUGAAAUCACUUGUGUGUACCAUUCAAGGUAGCCCGGAGCAGCUAAAGGCUGCCCUUCGCCACAGCUCAUGAAAACUUUAGCUUUGAAAUUUAGGGAAAACAAAUGGAAGGCAUGAAAAUGUCUACUCAUAAAUUCAGUCUCAAAGCCUUUCUUUCCAUACAGAAUAGGGUUUCAAUAGCAGUUCCUAUUCAGGCUAUAUUUUAUCAAAGUCCCAUCUGUGUUGAGAUCAUGAACAAAGACAAGGUAAAUCAGUCUACUUCCAGUGAGAAUCAAGUAUCUCUGUGGACAGCUACUACUGAAUCUGAACUAUUUCAGGUGAAAGAAUCCUAACUAUUGCUUGUUCUGGGCUGGUCAACGCUGGUUCUUCAGAAGAACAUCUGUUAGAGAGCUUUUAAAAUUGACUCUAGUUGGACAUUUAGAGGUGUGGGUUGUUCACUUCCUCAUUUACUGGAGGUUGUAUUUAAGCUAUAAACAGCAACAACGAUAUAUUUUUAGGUUAAAAGAGGCAACUCGAUAUAAACAGUGGAGUGAAAUAACUCUGGGCUCUUUACAUAUUUAUAAAGAAGUUUCCUACUGUGUAACUCUUUCUUGUGAAAUGCCAUAAGGGAUGUGGACAACUUGUCUUCCGAUUGACAUUUCUAAAUUGGUGACAUGCAAUUACUUUCUCCAUAUUCACACUGCUAAGUAAGUUGAAGAUUUUAGAACAUAUACUUGAGGCUCAUUGAAAUCUUCCCUAAGUCUAAAAUGGACAUUCAAUGUCUUGAGAAUUGAUUUUAAAAUGUUAACUUCCCUACUAUCCUGAACAAAAUGGGCCUCUCUGGAAAAUUCCUGAAGACAGAUUGCUGCUGUGUUAACUAAUUCCUUAUCUUGGAACUGUUUCCUGUGAUUCCCUUGUUCUUACAGCAUUACAGGUGAACCCCAUCCGAUGGAAAAUUCUGCUUAUGUUCACAAUCCAAGAAGCAGAGAUUUUGAGUUGGAAGGUAGCCAGAACUGAGUGGGCUUCUGUGAUGGUUUGCAUGUUUGAAAACCCUGUGGAAGGAGAAAUUGAAUGCACAGGGAGUCUGGAACCGAAGGAAUGGGGCCCCAGGAGUGGUGAAACUGUGGCAAGAUGGAUUGUGAAUCCCCAAAGGCAAGAAGGAACGCCUACCCCAGUGUCUAAAUGGGUGGCAGGAAGAGAGAUUUAGAGUUAAACACAUCAUGGGGAAGGUGCUAGAGAAAGACUUUUAUUUCCAAAAACAAGUUAUAGUUUUCAUCAGAGAAUAAAGAAGAAACUGCAAAUGAAGCAGAUUUUUAAAGAGCUCAAAACCUGAAACUGGAAAAAAACCCUAAAUAAAUAAACCAACAGUCUGGUGAGAUGGCUCUGUGGGUACAGCUACUUGGUAACAAGCUUGAUGAUCUGAAUUCUGUCCUGGGACUCUAUCCUAGUUAAAGGUACUAUUGCUAUGAUGAAACACCAUGGCCAAAAAGAAGUUGGGGAGGAAAGGGUUUAUUUAGUUUACACUUCCAGAUCAGAGUCCAUCUUGGGAACUCAAACAGGGCAGGAACUGGAAGUAGGAGCUGAUAUAGAGGCCAUGGAGGGGUGCUGCUUACUGGUUUGCUCCUCAAGGUUUGCUCAGCCUGCUUUCUUAUAGAACCCAGGACCACCAGCCCUCAUUUAGCAUCAUCCAUAAUGUGCCAGAGCCUCUUCCAUCAAUCACUGUUUAAGAAAACGUCCUAUAGGUGUGAUGGCUAAGUUUUAAGUCUAAAUUACUGUGCUUAAGGGAUCCAUAAAAAUGUCUCUAACCUGUAAGCUCUACAUGCCCAAGGACAGACAAGUUCCUGGGAUACUGGGGCUAUUGUUCUUAAAAGAUAACAAACCCAUGUGUUUUUUUUUUUUUUUUUGCUUCUGUAAACAAGCUUGGAGUGCAUAGGAUAUGUGCUUGAUUAUACCUAGGCAGGAAGUACGUCAGGAUGUAUGCUUGCCUCUGAUUGCACGAAAGUGGGAAGUACUUAGCCUUGUGAGGUUUGCUUUUGACUAAUGUAAUUAGCGUCUGACUAAUGUAAGCUGGUACCACAUUCUGAGUAUGAGUAUGAGUUUUAGGUAUGAACCUGACCAGCCCCCAUGGCUCUGGUCAGAAUUUAAUAAAGUAUCUUAUUUGUUAAAUUUUA